This 606-nucleotide ribosomal RNA is filed under the name Triticum aestivum (bread wheat). RNAcentral's name for it is "partial small subunit ribosomal RNA". The record is from RNAcentral. Lineage: Eukaryota; Viridiplantae; Streptophyta; Magnoliopsida; Poales; Poaceae.
AUGUCUACCUCUGCUGCUCUGGUCUCCUCCGGCCUCAACUACAACGUCUCCGAGCCACUCACCUGGACGAACUAUGUCAUCUGGCGAGCCCAGGCGCGAUCCUAGAUAAUGGGCACCGGCCUGUACGGCUACAUCGACCAAACCAUGGCAGAUCCUUCCAAGAUCAUCACCACCAAGGACAAGGACGGCAAGGAUCAGGUGAUCACCAACCCUGCCUAUGCCCCCUGGUUAAUUCAAGAUCAACAGAUCAUCGCAUAUCUCCUUCGAAAUCUCUCCAAGGAGGUGCUGGUUCAAGUUGCAUCGAUGGAAACAUCACAUGCGAUUUGGACGGCCCUGAGCAACAUGUUCUCCGCUGUAUCGCUCUCCCGCAUCAACAACAUUCGGGCCUCCCUCACCAACGCCCAGAAGGGCAACCAGCCGGCAGCAACCUACUUCGGGCACAUGCAUGCUCUCUCCGAUGAGCUCGCGGCGGCAGGCAAACCGAUCGGGGAGAACCAGCUGGUGUCGUUCAUCCUCUCGGGCUUGACAUGGAGUAUCAGCCCAUCAUCUCCGCCUUGGACGCACGUACUGAUUCAGUCACCGUUGAGAACCUCUUUGCCAUGGUAG